UUUAAGGAUUGGAAUGUUUGAUGAUAUAAAUAUCUCUGGUUUACAAAGGUGUCAAAUACAACUUUUACAAGUCAGCAUUCCAGCUUGUUAAAAACCAUUAACAGCAAAUCCAUAAAUCCAAGAGAGCACCACUGGACUUUAAUAUUCAUAAGCUGAUGACCAGUCACCACAUCUGACUCAACCAGAGGCCGUCGCUCAUUUGUAAAGGCUUUAAGUCUAUCCAACAACUUCACCCAACCAAUAUAAAUAUCCAACUCAUUAAAUGGAAUGAAUGCCAACUGAUGAGUUUGGGAAACCAGUGAAGAGGAAAUGACAGUAAAAGAGCAGAAGAGGAACACUGUAAAAGAGAGAAGAAGAGGAAGAAGAGGAGCAACAGGACAGGUUGGAGGGAAAUAAUUGUGGCCUGAAUGGUACAAAAGGAGGAGAAGCUAGAAGAGAGAGAGAGAGAAUGAGUGAAGUGGUCAAAGGAGGAAAAUGGAAGAAUGAGAGAGA
Molecule: long non-coding RNA, 492 nt
Organism: Octopus sinensis (East Asian common octopus)
Lineage: Eukaryota; Metazoa; Mollusca; Cephalopoda; Octopoda; Octopodidae
Exons: 3
Source: RefSeq, a predicted model, not a curated record